GAGGGCUUGGUGUAGUGGUAGCAUGUCUGAUUCCAGCUCAUAGCAUACAUGGAACUUCCAGAUGGUCAUCGGUUCAAAUCCGAUAGUCCUCA
RNAcentral lists this transfer RNA (92 nucleotides) under Lachnellula hyalina. It matches the Rfam family "tRNA". From Rfam's summary of the family: Transfer RNA (tRNA) molecules are approximately 80 nucleotides in length. Their secondary structure includes four short double-helical elements and three loops (D, anti-codon, and T loops). The record is from Rfam by way of RNAcentral. Lineage: Eukaryota; Fungi; Ascomycota; Leotiomycetes; Helotiales; Lachnaceae.